Molecule: ribosomal RNA, 482 nt
Filed under: uncultured bacterium
Lineage: Bacteria
Description: partial 16S ribosomal RNA
Rfam family: Bacterial small subunit ribosomal RNA
Source: RNAcentral
AUUGAACGCUGGCGGCAUGCUUUACACAUGCAAGUCGAACGGCAGCGCGGGGCAACCUGGCGGCGAGUGGCGAACGGGUGAGUAAUAUAUCGGAACGUACCCAGAAGUGGGGGAUAACGUAGCGAAAGUUACGCUAAUACCGCAUACGAUCUACGAAUGAAAGUAGGGGACCGCAAGGCCUUAUGCUUUUGGAGCGGCCGAUAUCUGAUUAGCUAGUUGGUGAGGUAAAGGCUCACCAAGGCGACGAUCAGUAGCUGGUCUGAGAGGACGACCAGCCACACUGGAACUGAGACACGGUCCAGACUCCUACGGGAGGCAGCAGUGGGGAAUUUUGGACAAUGGGCGCAAGCCUGAUCCAGCAAUGCCGCGUGAGUGAAGAAGGCCUUCGGGUUGUAAAGCUCUUUUGUCAGGGAAGAAACGGUAGAGGCUAAUAUCCUUUGCUAAUGACGGUACCUGAAGAAUAAGCACCGGCUAACUACGUG